UUGGGACUGAGACACGGCCCAAACUCCUACGGGAGGCUGCAGUAGGGAAUCUUCCCCAAUGGGCGAAAGCCUGAUGGAGCAACGCCGCGUGUGUGAUGAAGGCUUUCGGGUCGUAAAGCACUGUUGUAUGGGAAGAACAGCUAGAGUAGGGAAUGACUUUAGUUUGACGGUACCAUACCAGAAAGGGACGGCUAAAUACGUGCCAGCAGCCGCGGUAAUACGUAUGUCCCGAGCGUUAUCCGGAUUUAUUGGGCGUAAAGCGAGCGCAGACGGUUAAUUAAGUCUGAUGUGAAAGCCCGGAGCUCAACUCCGGAAAGGCAUUGGAAACUGGUUAACUUGAGUGCAGUAGAGGUAAGUGGAACUCCAUGUGUAGCGGUGGAAUGCGUAGAUAUAUGGAAGAACACCAGCGGCGAAGGCGGCUUACUGGACUGUAACUGACGUUGAGGCUCGAAAGUGUGGGUAGCAAACAGGAUUAGAUACCCUGGUAGUCCACACCGUAAACGAUGAACACUAGGUGUUAGGAGGUUUCCGCCUCUUAGUGCCGAAGCUAACGCAUUAAGUGUUCCGCCUGGGGAGUACGACCGCAAGGUUGAAACUCAAAGGAAUUGACGGGGACCCGCACAAGCGGUGGAGCAUGUGGUUUAAUUCGAAGCAACGCGAAGAACCUUACCAGGUCUUGACAUCCUUUGAAGCUUUUAGAGAUAGAAGUGUUCUCUUCGGAGACAAAGUGACAGGUGGUGCAUGGUCGUCGUCAGCUCGUGUCGUGAGAUGUUGGGUUAAGUCCCGCAACGAGCGCAACCCUUAUUGUUAGUUGCCAGCAUUCAGAUGGGCACUCUAGCGAGACUGCCGGUGACAAACCGGAGGAAGGCGGGGACGACGUCAGAUCAUCAUGCCCCUUAUGACCUGGGCUACACACGUGCUACAAUGGCGUAUACAACGAGUUGCCAACCUGUGAAGGUGAGCUAAUCUCUUAAAGUACGUCUCAGUUCGGACUGCAGUCUGCAACUCGACUGCACGAAGUCGGAAUCGCUAGUAAUCGCGGAUCAGCACGCCGCGGUGAAUACGUUCCCGGGUCUUGUACACACCGCCCGUCACACCAUGGGAGUUUGUAAUGCCCAAAGCCGGUGGCCUAACCGUAAGGAGGGAACC
RNAcentral lists this ribosomal RNA (1149 nucleotides) under Leuconostoc gasicomitatum. RNAcentral's name for it is "bacterial SSU rRNA". It matches the Rfam family "Bacterial small subunit ribosomal RNA", at positions 313 to 1454 of the family's 1533-position model. Lineage: Bacteria; Bacillati; Bacillota; Bacilli; Lactobacillales; Lactobacillaceae. The record is from RNAcentral.